This is a non-coding RNA of Misgurnus anguillicaudatus (oriental weatherfish), 988 nucleotides long. Lineage: Eukaryota; Metazoa; Chordata; Actinopteri; Cypriniformes; Cobitidae. The record is from RefSeq and is a predicted model, not a curated record.
UGAAGGAGAAAAAUGAGUUUUCGUAUGUGAGGUAAUCUUACUUAUGCUGGGAGUGAAGGCAGUGCGUAUGACCUCUUGAUAUGAGAGACACAUCCUGUAUUUAAAGGUGGAUCAUGAGUGAAGCUCUGCAGGUCUGCCAUUGGCUUGAUAACAGUGAAUUGAGUGAAUUCAAUUUAUAAAUAAAUCUUUUACCAAGCAUUCACCUAUUUACUGACAAAACAGAUCCAAAUCUUGUUCAGCCUGAUGCUCAACCUUGUAUGAUGAUGACCACAGCCAGGUGAUGAAGAUCUGUGUUAAUCACAGCCUGCGUCUCAAGAUCAACAUGACAACGGCAGACCAUCUCUUAUCUUACUCUUAUCUGACUAAGGGGCGGUUUCCCGGACCAGAAUUAGCUUAAUCCAGGACUAGGCCUUAGUUUAAUUAGGAAAUAUAACUAGUUUUAACAAACAUGCCUUACUAAAAACAUUGCCUGUGUGCAUUUUGAAGUAAACAAAGGGCCCUGAUGUAUUUUAAGAUAUGUAAGUGCAAGUUGUUUUCAGUUUGGAGAGCUCUUAAAACUGUUUAAGUCUAGGACUAGUCUAAUCCCUGUCCGGGAAACCGCCCCAAUAUGUUCAACUUCAUUGCAACAAAACAAAGAACAUUGGAUGGAGUAUUGGAGUAUGCACAAUGAUCCAGCAAACAAAAUAAUAUGGACUUUUUUGGUGAGAUUCUACAAACAUUGACACAAUCCUAUUGACUUUUAUUUUUACAGUUAAUUCAUUUGUAUUCUAUGUCAUCGAUCUGUUUGUGCUAAAAUGUAUACAUCUGAAUGUAAUGUCAAUAAUAUGUUAAUAUUCAGGAUUUAUUAUCAUUUGCAUGUUUUGAUGUUGCAUGUCAUGAUAGUAUUAAUUUCAUGUAAUUGUUGUCUACUUAAAAUGAUUUUAAUUGCCAAAUUCUAUUGUUAAUUUAUUUAAUAUUGAAGCUGUUAUUUAACAUCCAUAUCUUAUUU